UACCAGCUCCCCGAGUGGUGGGGAUGAUUAUUGGGCCUAAAGCGUUCGUAGCUGGCUUGGUAAGUCUUUCGUUAAAUUCAAUGAUCCAAUCAUUGGACUGCGGGAGAUACUGCCAGGCUAGGGGGCGGGAGAAGCCGAUGGUACUCUCAGGGUAGGGGUGAAAUCCUAUAAUCCUGAGAGGACCCCCAGUGGCGAAGGCGGUCGGCUAGAACGCGCCCGACGGUGAGGGACGAAAGCUGGGGGAG
This 245-nucleotide ribosomal RNA is filed under the name uncultured Thermoprotei archaeon. RNAcentral describes it as "partial 16S ribosomal RNA". It matches the Rfam family "Archaeal small subunit ribosomal RNA", at positions 474 to 719 of the family's 1478-position model. Lineage: Archaea; Thermoproteati; Thermoproteota; Thermoprotei. The record is from RNAcentral.